GCGGUGACUACAGGAGAAUGAUCAGAGGGUUGCAACAUCGCUGGCUUUAAAGAUGCAUGAUGGAGGCCAGGAAUGCUGGCGUCCUCUGGAAGGCAAGAAAACGGGAAAGGGUCUUAGGAGAGUUGGACACAUUCAAAACACAAUAUGUGAUUAAGAAGAUUAAAGAUUAAUACUUAUUGAUGGAUUACUAUGUGCCAAACUUCCAACCGAAUCCUGACAACAAUUCCUUAAGAUGUGGAAACUGCAGUUCACUGAGGUUGACAUUUCCGGGUUCAUACAACAAGGAUGGGCAUGAUUGUGAGGCCUCCCCACCCACAUGGAAUGGAACAAUGGUUCAGGAUUCACUAAUUCAGUAUUAGCAGCAACUUUACGGAACAAAACUACUGUGGAUAAUGAGAAUUCACUGCGCCCGUUGUUUAAACAGUUAACAGCAGUCACUUUAGUGCCUUUUGUAGAGACAGAGCACUAUGUGAAGAUUGUGCCUGCUUCCUCUUUGCCUUCCACCAUGAUUGGAAGUUUCCUGAGACCUUCCCAGCAGCAGAAGCCUAUACAGUCUGCAGAACUAGUUCCCCAGCUAUCCCCCAGUGGCUUGGAGAUUCCCAUUUCAAGAGUGUAGAGUUCUACCCAGAAGGUGGCUGCGUGGACAGUGACUACAUUCUCAGCUCCAUGCCUAUUUGGAUGGUCUGAGGCCUUCACUCCUCACCCUUCCUGGAUGUGGUUGCGCCAGAGGCCCUCAACUGAUUGGAUGAUGCCCACCUUCCCUGAGGUAAGCUAUGGGCUUUACUCAGU
RNAcentral lists this long non-coding RNA (789 nucleotides) under Homo sapiens (human). RNAcentral's name for it is "HSALNT0341933". The record is from RNAcentral. Lineage: Eukaryota; Metazoa; Chordata; Mammalia; Primates; Hominidae.